UAGGAAAGUAUUUAAAAUUAAAUAAAAUCUAAUUUGCAUUUAGAAAUUGUUAUUAACCUUUUCUAA
Molecule: transfer RNA, 66 nt
Filed under: Haemaphysalis bancrofti
Lineage: Eukaryota; Metazoa; Arthropoda; Arachnida; Ixodida; Ixodidae
Description: tRNA-Ala
Source: RNAcentral